AGAGUUUGAUCCUGGCUCAGAGCGAACGCUGGCGGCAGGCUUAACACAUGCAAGUCGAGCGGGCGUAGCAAUACGUCAGCGGCAGACGGGUGAGUAACGCGUGGGAACGUACCUUUUGGUUCGGAACAACACAGGGAAACUUGUGCUAAUACCGGAUAAGCCCUUACGGGGAAAGAUUUAUCGCCGAAAGAUCGGCCCGCGUCUGAUUAGCUAGUUGGUGAGGUAAUGGCUCACCAAGGCGACGAUCAGUAGCUGGUCUGAGAGGAUGAUCAGCCACAUUGGGACUGAGACACGGCCCAAACUCCUACGGGAGGCAGCAGUGGGGAAUAUUGGACAAUGGGCGCAAGCCUGAUCCAGCCAUGCCGCGUGAGUGAUGAAGGCCCUAGGGUUAUAAAGCUCUUUUGUGCGGGAAGAUAAUGACGGUACCGCAAGAAUAAGCCCCGGCUAACUUCGUGCCAGCCGCCGCGGUAAUAC
RNAcentral lists this ribosomal RNA (474 nucleotides) under uncultured bacterium. RNAcentral's name for it is "bacterial SSU rRNA". It matches the Rfam family "Bacterial small subunit ribosomal RNA", at positions 8 to 526 of the family's 1533-position model. The record is from RNAcentral.